Molecule: unclassified non-coding RNA, 430 nt
Filed under: soil metagenome
Description: partial contains 5.8S ribosomal RNA, internal transcribed spacer 2, and large subunit ribosomal RNA
Rfam family: 5.8S ribosomal RNA (bases 1-120)
Source: RNAcentral
GAUGAAGAACGUAGCGAAAUGCGAUACGUAAUGUGAAUUGCAGAAUUCAGUGAAUCAUCGAAUCUUUGAACGCACAUUGCACUCUCUGGUAUUCCGGAGAGUAUGCUUGUUUGAGUAUCUGUAAACAUCUCAAAUCUCUCUUCAAUUGCUUCAAUUGGGUCGAGAGAAUUGGAUUUGAGCGAUCCCGACUCCUUCGUCAGAAAGAGGAGGGUCGCUUGAAAUGCAGGUGCAGCUGGACAUUCUUCUGAGCAAAAAGCAUAUCUAUUUAGUCCCGUCAAACGGAUUAUUACUUUUGCUUCAGCUAAUAUAAAGGUUGAAUGAACUACCAACGCUGAUUGCAGGAAAACAUGUUCGUUUAUUCGGACUUGUAAACUCGAUCUCAAAUCAAGUAAGACUACCCGCUGAACUUAAGCAUAUCAAUAGCGGAGGA